CUUACCAGCCCUUGACCCCCCGAUCGUGGUUAGUGGAGACACUUACCGUCAGUUUGGCUGGAUCGNAGACAGGUGCUGCAUGGCUGUCGUCAGCUCGUGUCGUGAGAUGUUGGGUUAAAUCCCGCAACGAGCGCAACCCUCGCUCUUAGUUGCCAUCAUUCAGUUGGGCACUCUAAGGGGACUGCCGGUGAUAAGCUGGAGGAAGGUGGGGAUGACGUCAAGUCCUCAUGGCCCUUACGGGCUGGGCUACACACGUGCUACAAUGGUGGUGACAGUGGGCAGCGAGACCGCGAGGUUGAGCUAAUCUCCAAAAACCAUCUCAGUUCGGAUUGCACUCUGCAACUCGGGUGCAUGAAGUUGGAAUCGCUAGUAAUCGUGGAUCAGCAUGCCACGGUGAAUACGUUCCCGGGCCUUGUACACACCGCCCGUCACACCAUGGGAGUUGGCUUUACCCGAAGGUGCUGUG
Molecule: ribosomal RNA, 466 nt
Filed under: uncultured Hyphomicrobiales bacterium
Lineage: Bacteria; Pseudomonadati; Pseudomonadota; Alphaproteobacteria; Hyphomicrobiales
Description: bacterial SSU rRNA
Rfam family: Bacterial small subunit ribosomal RNA
Source: RNAcentral